Molecule: long non-coding RNA, 284 nt
Organism: Leopardus geoffroyi (Geoffroy's cat)
Lineage: Eukaryota; Metazoa; Chordata; Mammalia; Carnivora; Felidae
Exons: 2
Source: RefSeq, a predicted model, not a curated record
CUCGCCGCCAGGCCAGGGAAGCAGGGGCCCUUCGGUGCAAAGAGCGGGGAGAGGCUGCUCUUGCCUCUCUCUGACCUUCUUCAGUACAGCUACCAGCCCCAGCCCACCAGCUGUGCCCCGAGUACUGCAACCUAAUGCCAAGGAUUGGCAGGAAGACCUGCCCGACUUGCCCUGUGCUCAGACCCCAGAAUCACUUUCCGAAGGGAGAGAGGCCUGCUGACUGAGAGGUGCUGAGAUGCUGGGGAACAGAUGACAGACUCGCAGCCAGCACCCACUGGGCCCAG